Molecule: unclassified non-coding RNA, 381 nt
Filed under: Leontopodium artemisiifolium
Lineage: Eukaryota; Viridiplantae; Streptophyta; Magnoliopsida; Asterales; Asteraceae
Description: partial contains external transcribed spacer and 18S ribosomal RNA
Source: RNAcentral
GCGCAACAACUUCCACCUGGCUUACCUUUUCAGUCUUGUGCCAUUGCUUGUAUCGCAUUGAAUGCAUGGUGGGUUUCUUGUGUUGCAUGCCUAAUUGAUGGUAUCAUUUGAAGAACUGAUGUCCCUUUUCAUCUUGUGUCGCACAUGCGAUGUGAGAUGAACCUUGAAGUAGCCUUUGUGAUYCACUCUUUCGAUGUACACGCAUUGAUUUUGUGGCCCACUGUGUGUUGCUUGGUCUCAUGGAUAUGGAACCUGGUGUGGGCAUGGGAUCUUUACUAGUUCCUUGUUUGCCCUGGUUUAGCUUUUCUAAUACACGAUUGUUUAUCACAUUUUAAUGUGGUAGGCUAUAUCGGAUAUGAAUGCUACCUGGUUGAUCCUGCC